Molecule: ribosomal RNA, 497 nt
Filed under: uncultured bacterium
Lineage: Bacteria
Description: partial 16S ribosomal RNA
Rfam family: Bacterial small subunit ribosomal RNA
Source: RNAcentral
GAUGAACGCUGGCGGCGUGCCUAACACAUGCAAGUCGAGCGAACAGACGACAAGCUUUCUUCUCUGAUGUUAGCGGCGGCCGGGUGGUUAAUACCUCGAUAAUCUACCUCUACGACUUUGAUAACUUCGGCAAACCGGAGCUAAUACCGGAUGAUAUUCUGGACCUCUUGCUUCAUGAGUCUGAGACGGUCUUUCUGUCGCUUAUAGAUGGAUUCGCGCUGCAUUAGCUAGUUGGUAAGGUAACGGCUUACCAAGGCGACGAUGCAUAGCCGACCUGAGAGGGGGAUCGGCCACACUAGAACUGAGACGAGGUCCAGAAUCCUACGGGAGGCAGCAGUAGGGAAUCUUCUGCAAUAGGCGAAAGACGGACGGAGCAACGCCGCGUGAGUGAUGAAGGUCUUCGGAUCGUAAAGCUCUGUUAUUAGGGAAGAACAUAUGUGUAAGCAACUGUGCACAUCUUGACGGUACCUAAUUAGAAAGCCACGGCUAACUACGUG